CAAGAUGGUAGCACCCAGCGGUGCCAUGAGCGACUCGGAGAGCAGCAGCAGUGACAGCAGCGAUGCCGAGGAGUUGGCGCGGUGCCGCGAGGCGGCAACGCCCGCCUGGGGGCUGGAGCAGCGCCCGCGGGAAGCGGAGAGACCCGCAGCCGGUACUGCAGAUACACAGGCGCCAGCCCCCCAGCCAAGCCGCAGGUACUGUGUGCUCUGCACAGAAGCUUCAUUGAGCCAUUCAGCACCACUGGUCCCCCCUGUGCAUGCCAGACGCUAGGCGUGAGGUGAACCAGCAUGAUGAAGAUGGCAACGAACUUCAGACCACUCCUGAGUUCCGAGCCUACGUGGCCAAGAAACUGGGAGCACUGCUGGACAGCUCCAUUGCUAUCGCAGAAGUAUGGAAGAAGACCCAGCAGGCCAGGUUGCAGCAGGAGGCCAAGGAGCAGCAGGAGGCCAAGGAGCAGCAGGCGGCCAAGGAGGAGCAGGCAGCCAAGAAGGAGGAAGACGGCUUCCGCCUUUUCUUCACAUCUGUCCCCGGAGGCCAUGAAAAGGAAGCUUCUCCAAGACCCUGCCGAAAGCGCCAGCCCCCCAGCUCCAGUGAGGACAGUGACGAGGAAUUGCAGCGGUGCCGGGAGGCAGCUGUGUCCGCUUCAGAUAUUCUCCAGGAGUCAGCCAUACACUGCCCUGCCAAGGUCGAGAAGGAGGCCGAGAAGAAGAAGUUGAAAAAGAAAGCCAAGAAGAAGGCAGACGCUGACCUGGCUGCAGCCACAGGUCUGGAACAGGUAAAGGAGGCGGGUAGCGUCAAUGGGGACCCAGUGUUGUCUGGGACCAAAAAGAAAAAGAAGAAAAAGGCCAAGAAAGCUAGAGAGGCUUCCCUGUGCCCACCAGCAGAGUGUGCAGCGGCUGAGCCUAAGAACUGACUGCAGGCUGUAGGUAGGUCCUGAGGUCACCAGCUCUGAGGAUACUAACCCAGGGGGUUAGGGCAGAGCCAAGCCACACUCCGUUUCCAGCUUCCCGCACUGACUGCCCGCAGGUGACUUUAGUUGGGCUUGCCCAAGAGUGCAAGCAAAGGAGUGGGUAUAUGGGGGGGAAGUCUGUGCAAGGCUGGAAUGGACUUGUGGUUCCAGAACAUUCCAUCGCCUCAGGAAGUACGACUCUUCCAGCUUUUGAGACUGAAUCUCACAGCAUCCAUCUUCCCGACCUGUGCAGCCUCGGAUGACAGUUGUCUUCGAGAAUGAUGGGGAGGGGUCUUCAAGCUACUGAGGCCCCAGAAAACUUCUGUACCUCCCCCCCAACCCAUACAGACUUAAUAGCAUUGUCUGGAAGAGAAGGAAAGAUAUCCCCCACCUCCUUCUCCCCCACAUUUGUGUGUAACGUGUUAAUUUGUUAAUAACACAGGUAAACCAUUUCACUCUCUGAAAACCAGGUGCCAGAGCACUGAGCACCUACUUAGUGGAAGGAAAGAGAAAAAGGGAAAUAAAUUAUCAGGUGACCCAG
This 1491-nucleotide long non-coding RNA is filed under the name Rattus norvegicus (Norway rat). RNAcentral's name for it is "long non-coding RNA NONRATT008064". Lineage: Eukaryota; Metazoa; Chordata; Mammalia; Rodentia; Muridae. The record is from RNAcentral.